GAUGAAGAACGUAGCGAAAUGCGAUAAGUAAUGUGAAUUGCAGAAUUCAGUGAAUCAUCGAAUCUUUGAACGCACAUUGCGCCCGCCAGUAUUCUGGCGGGCAUGCCUGUGUGAGCGUCAUUUCAACCCUCAUGCCCCUAGGGCGUGGUGUUGGGGAUCGGCCAAAGCCCGCGAGGGACGGCCGGCCCCUAAAUCUAGUGGCGGACCCGUCGUGGCCUCCUCUGCGAAGUAGUGAUAUUCCGCAUCGGAGAGCGAUGAGCCCCUGCCGUUAAACCCCCAACUUUCCAAGGUUGACCUCAGAUCAGGUAGGAAUACCCGCUGAACUUAAGCAUAUCAAUAAGCGGAGGA
Molecule: unclassified non-coding RNA, 348 nt
Filed under: soil metagenome
Description: partial contains 5.8S ribosomal RNA, internal transcribed spacer 2, and large subunit ribosomal RNA
Rfam family: 5.8S ribosomal RNA (bases 1-120)
Source: RNAcentral